This 672-nucleotide ribosomal RNA is filed under the name Enterococcus faecalis. RNAcentral's name for it is "partial 23S ribosomal RNA". It matches the Rfam family "Bacterial large subunit ribosomal RNA", at positions 1 to 672 of the family's 2925-position model. Lineage: Bacteria; Bacillati; Bacillota; Bacilli; Lactobacillales; Enterococcaceae. The record is from RNAcentral.
GAUAAGGUUAAGUGAAUAAGGGCGCACGGUGGAUGCCUUGGCACUAGGAGCCGAUGAAGGACGGGACUAACACCGAUAUGCUUUGGGGAGCUGUAAGUAAGCUAUGAUCCAGAGAUUUCCGAAUGGGGGAACCCAAUAUCUUUUAUAGGAUAUUACUUUUCAGUGAAUACAUAGCUGAUUAGAGGUAGACGCAGAGAACUGAAACAUCUUAGUACCUGCAGGAAGAGAAAGAAAAUUCGAUUCCCUGAGUAGCGGCGAGCGAAACGGGAAGAGCCCAAACCAACAAGCUUGCUUGUUGGGGUUGUAGGACUCCAAUAUGGUAGUCUGUUAGUAUAGUUGAAGGAUUUGGAAAAUUCCGCUAAAGAGGGUGAAAGCCCCGUAGACGAAAUGCUAACAACACCUAGGAGGAUCCUGAGUACGGCGGAACACGAGAAAUUCCGUCGGAAUCCGCGGGGACCAUCCCGCAAGGCUAAAUACUCCCUAGUGACCGAUAGUGAACCAGUACCGUGAGGGAAAGGUGAAAAGCACCCCGGAAGGGGAGUGAAAUAGAUCCUGAAACCGUGUGCCUACAACAAGUCAAAGCUCGUUAAUGAGUGAUGGCGUGCCUUUUGUAGAAUGAACCGGCGAGUUACGAUUGCAUGCGAGGUUAAGUCGAAGAGACGGAGCCGCAGC